CCUUACUAUAUUUAGAAUAGUGGUCGAUCCUUCGGGAGUUACAUUCGUAACUUAAUGUAAUGUUAUGUUCACGCGGUGAUAUUCUAUCUUUCCAAGAGUACUACCCUGUACGUAGUCUAUGUCUGGGGAGCAUACUUGACAGGAGAUAGACACAGGCGGUAGAGGGGUCCCCCACUUCGAUUCCCGCCCCGUUAGCAUCUACGAUCCUAGAUAAGGGAUUAGUCCGUUAGGUCUUUUCGGUCCGGAGCCGGCUGGUAAUGGACCUACUUACCUUGCUUGUAGACCUGCUGCGGAGCUAACCCUUGUUCUAUUGGUUUGGUGGUUGAGCGGGUGGCUGAGCGUUAUCGCGAGCUAAUUUUGCCACUGAAUAUUCCAUUUUCGUUAGAGAAAUCGUUAGUAUCGUCAGUUGGUGCUUUGGAGUUUGCUAAGCAGUUCUUCGUACGCGGAGUGACUAAGGGCUUUUUUCCUGUCUCCUCUCACAUGUUAAGAUCCUUAGUUAGUUCCAUAUCCCUUGUUCCUGUAAUGAGGGCUAUUAUGUCUAAGGAUCUUCCAUUGUCGUAUCGUUUACGGGAAGCUGGGUACCGAGUGUAUACUCGACGCACGGCGCCUCCUAGGAGACACUGGAAUCGGCAUUUCCUGAGGCGAGCUUUCAGAAGCUCAAGACAACUUUGACUGUGGUGCUAGUGAUUGUUUUUCCUACAGGUUCAGGGCCAUAUAUAGUAUAUUGUGAUGCAUCUCGUAUUGGACUUGGUGAGGUGUUGACGCAGAAUGGUGAGGUUAUUGCAUAUUUUUCGUGAUAGUUGAAGAUUCACGAGAAGAAUUAUCCAGUUCAUGAUUUGGAGCUAGCAGCCAUUGUUCACGCGCUGAAGAAUUGGAGGCACUAUUUAUAUGGCGUGUCGUGUGAGCUUUUCACGGAUCACAAGAGUCUACAAUAUGUGUUCAAACAGAAGAAACUAAACUUGAGGAAGAGGAGGUGGUUGGAGCUGAUGAAAGACUAUGAUAUCACCAUCUUGUGUCAUCCGGGGAAGUCCAAUGUAGUGGCUGAUGCUUUGAGUAGGAAGUCAGCAAGUAUGGGCAGCGAUGCGUAUAUUCCACUCACUGAGUGACCGCUUGCUUUGGAAGUUCAGGCUUUAGCCAAUCAGUUCGUGAGAUUGGAUGUUUCUGAGCCCAGCCGUGUUUUAGCUUGUAUAGUCACUUGGUCUUCAUUAUUUGGGCAUAUCAGGGAUCGAUAUUAUGACGAUAUUCACUAGCUAGUCUUUAGAGACACAGUGCGGCACGGUAGUGCCCAGCAGGUUACAGUUGGAGAUGAUGGAGUUUUGAGGAUGUAGGGUCGAGUUUGUGUGCCUAAUAUGGAUGGACCUCGUGAGUUGAUUCUAGAAGAGGCCCACAGUGCCUGAUAUUCUAUUCAUCUGGGAACUGCGAAGACGUAUCAGGAUUUGCGGCAGCAUUAUUGGUGGAGGAGGAUGAACAAAGAUGUUGUUGCAUAUGUAGCUCUGUGUUUGAAUCGUCAGCAGGUAAAGUACGAGUAUCAUAUACCUGGUGGUUUGCUUUAGAAGAUUGAGAAUUCUGAGUGGAAGUGGGAGCAUAUCACUAUGGAGUUCAUUGUUAGACUCCCACAGACUUAGACGAAGUCCGAUGCGAUUUGGGUUAUUGUUGAUAUGCUGACUAAGUCAGCGUAUUUCAUUCCUCUGGUGGUCUCUUAUUCUUCAAAGAAGUUAGCUGAGAUCUAUAUCCGGGAGAUUUUCAUCUUUAUGGUUUGCGCGUGUCUAUUAUUUCUAACCAAGGUACAUAGUUUGCCUCGUAUUUCUAGAGGGCAGUUCGGUGUAAGUUGGGUACACGGGUCGAGUUGACCACAACAUUUCAUCAUCAGAAGGACGGACAGUCCGAGCGUACUAUUUAGAUUUUGGAGGAUAUGCUUCGCGCCUAUGAUAUUGAUUUUGGAGGUUCUUGGGAUCAUUUCUUGCCAUUAGCGAAGUUUUCCUACAAUAAAACCUAUCAAUCAAGCAUCCAGAUGGCUCCAUAUUAGGAAUUAUAUGGUAGACGGUGUUGAUCGCCAAUUGGAUAGUUUGAGCGGGAAGAGGCUCAGUUGUCGGGUACAUAUUUAGUAUAGAUUGCCUUGGACAUGGUUAAGAUCAGUCAGGAUAGUCUUCGUACAACUCAAUCCAGGAAAAAGAUUUAUGUUGAUCAUAAGGUUCGCGAUGUGUCAUUCAUGUUUAGAGAGUGAGUGUUGCUUCGGGUGACACCCAUCAAGGGCGUGAUGAUAUUUGGGAAGAAGGGCAAGCUAAGCCAUAAAUUCAUUGAACCUUUUGAGAUUCGUGAUCGAGUGAGAGAGGUGGCUUACAGACUUGCGUUGCCUCCGAGUUUAUCAGUUGUGCGUCCAGUGUUUCAUGUGGCCAUGCUUCAGAAGUGGGACGGAGAUCCAUCCCACGUGUUAGACUUCAACACUGUAUAGUUGGACAAGUACUUGACUUAUGAGGAGAAGCCGAUAGCUAUUCUAGACUGGCAGGUUCGUUAGCUGAAAUUGAAGAAGUUCCUUUCAGUUCGUGUGCAGUGAAGAGGUCAUCCUUUUGAGGUAGCGACUUGGAAGUUCGAGUCCAACAUGCGGAUCCAAUAUCCCCAUCUUUUCACCAGCUCAUGUACUUUUCUAUGUCCGUUCGAGGACGAUUAGUUGUUUUAGAGGUGAAGAAUGUGAUGACCCAAAGGGUCUUCUUUUGUUUUAUAAUACGAAUCCUGGUUCUGAGGCCUUGAAAAUCUCAUUAUCUUCCUCCUCGAUUUCCAUGCGUAGUCCGGGCGCAUUUCCGGAAAGCUUUUAUGUGAAUUUAUAAGAAAAUUAGAAAUUUGCUUUUAAAAUUGAUUGAAGUUGACUUUGGUCAAUUUUUUGGGUAAAAAGAUCCGGAGCCAUUAUUUUGUGGUCCCGGAGGGUCCAUAGUAAAAUAUGAAACAUGGACGUAAGCCCGAAAUCGAAUUCCGAGGUCCCUAGCCCGAGAAAUUAUUUUUUAAAGAAAAUCAUUUGCUGGAAAAUAUAAGUACUUUUGGAAAUUAAAUGGUGUGUUAUCUUGAUGGUAUCAUGCUAAUAUUUAGGUUUUGGACCCCAAAACAAGUUUAAUAUAAUAUUUAAGUCAUAUCUGUGAAAUUUUGUGAGAAUUAGAGUUGAUUUUACGUGAUUCGGAUGUCGUGUUGUGAAAAUAGUAAAUUUGAAGUUUUCUUGAGGAAAAUCAUGAGUUGAGGUUAAAUUCGUAGUUGUUGAUGCUAUUUUGAUGAUUUGAUUGCACGAGCAAGUCUAUAUGGUAUUUUUAGACUUGCGUGCAUAUUUGGUUUGGAGCCCCAAGGGCUCGGGUCAGUUUUAAAUAGGCUGGAGAGUGAUUAGAACUUAGGAAAACUCAGCUAUGCAUCUAGUAUUUUGCACAGGCCUCUGAUCUCACAAAUGCGAGAUCUGGCUUCACAAAUGUGAAGUCUACCGGCCUGGGAAAUGCGACAAUAUUCUCGCAAAUACGAAGAAGACUUGGAAAGGCCAACUUCACAAAUGUGAAUUUUUGGACGAAAUUGCGAAGGCCCAGAGGUCGCAAAUUCGACAUAUAUAUCCCAAAUGUGAAGGCAGUAGAAUUCAAAGGGUUCGCAAUUUGUAAUUUCGAUAACUUCAACCUAUUAAGUGAGAUUUUAGACGGGAUUUUCACUUCAUUCUUCAAAAUUUCAAAACCUAAACUCCAAAGGGCGAUUUUCCUAGAGCAAGUGUUUCCCGAAAUCAUAGGUAAAUGAAUCUUAAAUCUAUUUCUUCAAUCUAUUUCAUCUUUUUACAUGAUUUCACUUCAAAAUCUAGGGUUUUUUCAUGGGAAAUUGGGUGUUCUUGGGUAAAAAUUAGGAUUUUCGAAUUUUGGGGAUUUGGACCUCAAUUUGAGGUCAGAUUUCAAAACCAAUUGCAUAUUUGAGUUCGUGGGUGAAUGGAUAAUUAGGUUUUGGUUCGUACUUCAAUUUUGACUAAGAGGGCCGGGGUCGAUUUUUGACUUUUUGGGAAAAAUAUUAGAAAAUCCAUAUUCAUGCAUUAGAAGUGAUUCAACUAGAAUUUAUUGAUGUUAUUAAGUAAAUUAUGACUAGAUACAAGUGAAUUGAAAGAAGAAUCGAGAGAUAAAGCAGUAAUUGAGGCUUGAUUUUGUUUAUGUAAUUGAGGUGUUGUGGUCUUAUUUGCUACGUGUUAGUGUUGAGUACAACGUAUAGGUGUGGUGAUUAGAAUCUAUAUGUUGGUGUCGAGCAUACUGGUGAGUCUUAUACCAUGAUUGUUGUGACUCUUAUUAUAUAACGUCAGCACUUAAAUUGAUGAUUAUCAAUGUUGAUCAAGACUUAUGAUAAAUUCUUGGUAAUUGACAAUUUUUGAGUAUGGGCUCAAGUUGAGAUUUAUUUUGUGAAGUAAAUAUUGGAACGAGAUUGGUUAUAACAAUUCUUUUGCAGGGAUGUAUUUGUUUCUAUUGUUGAUUUCCUAGGUGGGAUGUUUUAUUUCUAUUCUCUGGGUGAGGAAGAGUGUAAAGCACGAAGGGUGAUGUCGUGCAUGAUAUUGUAAGUGAGUGUUAAUGCACAGAAGGUGAUGUCGUUCCGAUAUUGUGAGUGUUAAUGCACGAAAGGUGAUGUCGUAUCAUGAUUUGAGAGUUAACGCACGAAAGGUGAUGUUGUGCCAUUUCUAUUAGUUUUUAUGGUGAGAACGACAGUAAAAGCACAAAGGGAAAUACCGUGCACGUGUUACUGUUUCAUUAUUCUUGUUGAUACAAAUAUGGUGUUCAUUAUGAUUCUCUAUUGAAUUACUGUUAGAAUUUGAUAUUCCCCGCAGCAUGUUCCCAUUCCCAUCUUUAUCUGUUAUUUGCUGUUAUUAUUGUUCUAUUCGUAUAUGAUUUAACUGCACAAGUUUAUAUGGCUGUCGUAUCCUAGCCUCCUCACUACUUCGCCGAGGUUAGGCUCGACACUUACCAGUACAUGGGGUCAGUUUUACUGAUACUGCACUCUGUACUCUUUGCGCAGAUUUUGGUGUCGGACCUUGUGAGUAGCUUAGAGGUUGUUGCCUUCAGUCCAAAGAGACCAAGAUAGAUCUCCUAGCGUUCGCAGAGCCUGAAGUCACAUUUCCGCGCUUUAGUGUCUUAUGUCUCUUCUAUUUCGAGAACAGUUGUACUUCUUUUAGACUUAUAUUUGUAGUAAAUCUUAGUUGUGGCACUGUUAUAUUAUUUUCACAUUUCUUAAUUAUCUUAUUUUGAUGAAUACCUAUUCCUGUGUGAACUAAUGGUAAUGAUAGUAAAAUUGUAAUUGUCGGUUAACCUAGCUUUCACGAGUAGGUGUCAUCACGGUUCCUGAAGGUGAGAAAUCUGGGUCGUAACAUUAGUAGGUUCUUUUUAGAUUUGAAGGUCUAACUGAAAGUUAAGUUGAAGAGGUAUGAUGGUGCUAAUGGUAGGAUGCUUGGAGUUAGCACCAACUUCUUUCGUUUUGUUCUUUUUAGGGCCACCACUGUGGAAAAUGCUAAAGUUUUCGAAAAUAGCAAUAGCAGAAGAAAUACUAAUAAGAAAUUUGGAUAGUGAGAUUUUGCUUAGAAAUAGGGAGUUUUGCAGUAGGGUUUUAAGGAAGUUCGAAAAAAUAAAGAGUUUGUAAAAGUAAAGAAUAAAAAGUGAUGAAUAGUGGAGAAGUUUAUAGAUGGCAAAAUUCAUGAUCAUGAUUUCCUUGAAAACUUGCAAAAAUAUUUACCUAAUCAUGGGGUCACAUUUUCGGGUCAAUAAAUACAAAGAGACAUGCAUCCUUUCAAGUGACAGAAACCGUUUAGGAACUUCUCUGCCAAGAAAAUGGUCUUAUCUACUACUCAGUAACACAAAGUUUUGUUAUCCGAAAGUAAGGGGACUAUCUGUAUGGGAUAAAAUGGGUUAGCGACACAUGGAGCUAGGAACAUGUAAUAUAUGAGGUAGCAAAUAAUUGAGGUCAGAUACUAAUGUGUGUUCGGUGCUAUAUAAAUUUUGAUGGCAUGGAAACCGACAACGAAGAUUUGAAAGGAAGACAUCGGUUGAAUAAGACAACAUUUAAUAGCCAUUACAAGAAAUAGGGGUUUAAUCUCAUUGAAGAAGGGCUUGAUUUGGGAAUUGUCUUCUUGAAUAGAGCUAUAAAUAGGAGGAUUUAUAUUCGGUGACGGACAUGAAACAUUCUGUAGGCAAAAGCAAAAUUCAACUCGUAUUCUAUCAAAUUGCCCUCUUUACUUGAUUCUGUAUUUUUUUAUUGUUUUUUCUAUCGGAGAAGCUAAAUUCAUAGGCAGUUUUGUAUUUUCUUUAAAUUAUUUUUUAUAAUUUUAUUUCUGUUCUUAUUUGUUCCAUAUAAAAGUCGUUCUUUCAAAUAUCUUUUGGUGAACGUUGCAGAAAAGAGCUGAAGAAAAGAAAAGUAUAAUUAAUAAUACCAACGUUACAAAACCUAGCAAAAAUUAAUAGUGCUAUGCCGUAGUAAAAUAAAGAACUUGCGGAUGGAAAUGGUGGACACUUUCAAUGGUGACAAAGCCAAAAAAAG
RNAcentral lists this long non-coding RNA (6516 nucleotides) under Nicotiana benthamiana. RNAcentral's name for it is "long non-coding RNA (NBEN_LNC021661)". The record is from RNAcentral. Lineage: Eukaryota; Viridiplantae; Streptophyta; Magnoliopsida; Solanales; Solanaceae.